GCCGGACACGUGGCGCGCGCAGGCCAAUCCCGCUCGGCCGCCUCUCCCCCGCCCCCCACCCCGCGUUCCUUGGCGCCCGGGAUGUUAGAAUGUCACCAGGCCGGGGCUGCUUGCGUGUGUCCUCAGACCCCGGACCUGAGACUGGAGAGAGCACAGGGAGGUUUGGCCAAGCUCGUGUGGCUAUCGCUGAGGUAAAAGCCGGGGCUCUCAGUUCCAGACGCCAAUUCCAGAUUGCUUUCUCCUCCAAAUUCCUACAACUUGCCAAAGCUUAGUUGAGAAACAGAAAAUCUAAGCUUGCCAAUACUGAGGCCCCAGGCAACUUAUCUGUCUGAUCAAAUUCCAUUCCUCAACAACUCUGUCAGGUCAACCUCCUGAUGGCAACAUCUGCAGUGGCUUUUGUGCACUCAGGGACCGUGAUGACCAAAGCAACAUAAGAUUAAAUCAGCACAAGAAGAAGAUGAUGCAAUCGAGAAACAAAGUAAGCACAGAAUGGAUGAGAGGACUGCUGGCUAACAUAGCACCCUGUUUUAUAGCAAAUUAUUUUUACAAGUAGAAAGAGUAUGUGCUGAGGAUAAAACAUGCAAUAUAGUAAAUA
Molecule: long non-coding RNA, 595 nt
Organism: Ochotona curzoniae (black-lipped pika)
Lineage: Eukaryota; Metazoa; Chordata; Mammalia; Lagomorpha; Ochotonidae
Exons: 2
Source: RefSeq, a predicted model, not a curated record